Molecule: ribosomal RNA, 482 nt
Filed under: uncultured Flammeovirgaceae bacterium
Lineage: Bacteria; Pseudomonadati; Bacteroidota; Cytophagia; Cytophagales; Flammeovirgaceae
Description: bacterial SSU rRNA
Rfam family: Bacterial small subunit ribosomal RNA
Source: RNAcentral
GAUGAACGCUAGCGGCAGGCCUAAUACAUGCAAGUCGAGGGGUAACAUGAGAGCUUGCUCUUGAUGACGACCGGCGCACGGGUGCGUAACGCGUAUGCAACCUACCCAUCACUGAGGGAUAGCCCGUGGAAACAUGGAUUAAUACCUCAUAAUAUAUAGAAAUGGCAUCGUUUUUAUAUUAAAGAUUUAUUGGUGAUGGAUGGGCAUGCGUUAGAUUAGCUAGUUGGUGAGGUAAUGGCUCACCAAGGCUACGAUCUAUAGGGGGUCUGAGAGGAUGGUCCCCCACACUGGUACUGAGAUACGGACCAGACUCCUACGGGAGGCAGCAGUAGGGAAUAUUGGUCAAUGGAGGCAACUCUGAACCAGCCAUGCCGCGUGUAGGAAGACGGCGUUCUGCGUUGUAAACUACUUUUAUCUAGGAAGAAAUGCAUGCUUGCGAGCGUGUUUGACGGUACUAGAAGAAUAAGCACCGGCUAACUCCG